RNAcentral lists this ribosomal RNA (437 nucleotides) under uncultured bacterium. RNAcentral's name for it is "partial 16S ribosomal RNA". It matches the Rfam family "Bacterial small subunit ribosomal RNA", at positions 29 to 507 of the family's 1533-position model. The record is from RNAcentral.
AGCGAACGCUGGCGGCAGGCUUAACACAUGCAAGUCGAGCGGGCAUCCUUGUGGUGUCAGCGGCAGACGGGUGAGUAACGCGUGGGAACGUGCCCUUCGGUUCGGAAUAACUCAGGGAAACUUGAGCUAAUACCGGAUACGUGCGAGAGCAGAAAGGUUUAUCUGCCGAAGGAUCGGCCCGCGUCUGAUUAGCUAGUUGGUGAGGUUACGGCUCACCAAGGCGACGAUCAGUAGCUGGUCUGAGAGGAUGAUCAGCCACACUGGGACUGAGACACGGCCCAGACUCCUACGGGAGGCAGCAGUGGGGAAUAUUGGACAAUGGGGGCAACCCUGAUCCAGCCAUGCCGCGUGAGUGAUGACGGCCUUAGGGUUGUAAAGCUCUCUUCUCCGGGACGAUAAUGACGGUACCGGAGGAAUAAGCCCCGGCUAACUUCGUG